Molecule: ribosomal RNA, 484 nt
Filed under: uncultured bacterium
Lineage: Bacteria
Description: partial 16S ribosomal RNA
Rfam family: Bacterial small subunit ribosomal RNA
Source: RNAcentral
AUUGAACGCUGGCGGCAGGCCUAACACAUGCAAGUCGAGCGGAUGAAGGGAGCUUGCUCCUGGAUUCAGCGGCGGACGGGUGAGUAAUGCCUAGGAAUCUGCCUGGUAGUGGGGGAUAACGUCCGGAAACGGGCGCUAAUACCGCAUACGUCCUGAGGGAGAAAGUGGGGGAUCUUCGGACCUCACGCUAUCAGAUGAGCCUAGGUCGGAUUAGCUAGUUGGUGGGGUAAAGGCCUACCAAGGCGACGAUCCGUAACUGGUCUGAGAGGAUGAUCAGUCACACUGGAACUGAGACACGGUCCAGACUCCUACGGGAGGCAGAAGUGGGGAAUAUUGGACAAUGGGCGAAAGCCUGAUCCAGCCAUGCCGCGUGUGUGAAGAAGGUCUUCGGAUUAUAAAGCACUUUAAGUUGGGAGGAAGGGCAGUAAGUUAAUACCUUGCUGUUUUGACGUUACCAACAGAAUAAGCACCGGCUAACUUCGUG